RNAcentral lists this ribosomal RNA (774 nucleotides) under uncultured Neocallimastigales. Its description in RNAcentral is "partial large subunit ribosomal RNA". It matches the Rfam family "Eukaryotic large subunit ribosomal RNA", at positions 23 to 647 of the family's 3401-position model. The record is from RNAcentral. Lineage: Eukaryota; Fungi; Neocallimastigomycota; Neocallimastigomycetes; Neocallimastigales.
AGAGAGAGACAUGCGCGCAUAUCAAUAAGCGGAGGAAAAGAAACUAACAAGGAUUCCCCUAGUAACGGCGAGUGAAGCGGGAAGAGCUCAAAUUUGAAAUCUUAAAGGGUUUCCCUUUACGAAUUGUAGUUUAAAGAAGUGUUUUCUGUUGAGGUUUUGGUAAAAGUUCUUUGGAAUAGGACAUCAUAGAGGGUGAGAAUCCCGUAUUUGACCUUUACUUUCAACUUUGUGAUACACUUUCAAAGAGUCGGAUUGUUUGGGAAUGCAGUCCAAAAUGGGUGGUAAAUUUCAUCUAAAGCUAAAUAUUGGCGAGAGACCGAUAGCGAACAAGUACCGUGAGGGAAAGAUGAAAAGAACUUUGAAAAGAGAGUUAACCAGUACGUGAAGUUGUCAAAAGGGAAGCGUUUGACACCAGUGUUGUUUUUCUGAAAAUCAAUUAAAGAACUGUUUAUGCUAAGCUGUUUAGACUUUAUCAGCUAUCUGUUUAGUUUUGAGCUUUUCUUUAAUGCACUUUUCAGUUAACAAGUCAACAUCAAUUUCUUUUGCUGUAAAAAAGCUUGAGGAAGGUGGCUUGAGAUUCGUCUUAAGUGUUUAUAGCCUCUUGCCUAUGCAGUCGGAGAGAUUGAGGUCUGCAGCGUAGAUCCUUCGGGGCUAAAUGCAUUUGUGCUAAGUUAUAGCAUUUUAUAGACAACUUGUUGACUAUGAUUUGUCUUGUAGCUUACUCGCUUAUGUUAUUUUACCUACGCUUAGGAUGUUGACGCAUGAGAUAUACGC